AGGACGAACGCUGGCGGCGUGCUUAACACAUGCAAGUCGAGCGAGACCCUGCCUUCGGGUGGGUGUUCUAGCGGCGAACGGGUGAGUAACACGUGGGCAACCUGCCCUCAGCUCUGGGAUAACUCCAAGAAAUUGGGGCUAAUACCGGAUAUGACCGCUGACCGCAUGGUCUGGUGGUGGAAAGUAUUUAUCGGCUGGGGAUGGGGCCCGCGGCCUAUCAGCUUGUUGGUGGGGUAGUGGCCUACCAAGGCGACGACGGGGUAGCCGGCCUGAGAGGGU
Molecule: ribosomal RNA, 279 nt
Filed under: uncultured soil bacterium
Lineage: Bacteria
Description: partial 16S ribosomal RNA
Rfam family: Bacterial small subunit ribosomal RNA
Source: RNAcentral